AAUUGCACGCGAUGUAAAAAAUACAUCCUAACAUCGGUUUAUGAAAUAUCGAUUUCUAUUGUGAUUAUAAACAUCGGUCGUUAAAUUAACCGAUGUGUAAAGUCUCGUUCAAAAAUUUUGAAAAAACGCGGAGGGACUAAGUUGAAAAUUUCAGAAACGCGGGGGGACCAAAAUAUUCAUUCCCCCCAACACUUAGACUUUUUGUUCACUUGUCUGAAACUUUCGAACCCCAACUCUCACUUGACUACGAUUGACACCAGCACAGACGCCUCGAGCUCGUUCUCUGGCCUGAGCUCGUUCUCCGGGUUCAGCUCUUUGUUUCUCACUCUUCCCUGAAACCCGAGCGCUCUCCUCCUUCCUCUCCUGCUCUCUUUCCAAGGCUACUGUCUCUCCCUCGUUAACCGCCUCUGUUCGCUCACCGGCGCCAUCGCCUCUGACGGCGCUUCUCGUCCAACGCCGCCACGUCCUUGCUCCGAGAUCUGAACCCCAACUGGUCUAACCGGCCUCCAAGGUGUCUAUCGUCCUCGAUUGGUGCGACUUCGAGCACCAAAUGCCCGGGACGGAGUAACCGUACACAACUGCGAUGACGACGGCGCAAUCGGCAUCAGGUACUCUGUUCUAUGUUUCCGGGUUUGCAGAUUCUGGGUUCUUCCUGCUUCCUCUCUGUCUCUACCCAUCUCUCUUCUGCUUAAAGAUAAAAUCGCAUAAUUGCAGCAGCCAUGGCCACCUCGUCGCCCUUGGAUUCUCCAACGACCGACUCUGAAGCCGCCGACACGGAGCCAAACCCUAACCCUAAUCCUUCAAACGCAUUGUUCCCUGUUUCCCCAAACGGCUUUGCUGUCUGCCUUCUCAGGUUCGCUGGGGACUCCGGCGGUGCAUUCAUGAGCUCUAUCUUUGGCUAUGAUGCCAGUCUGGAAUGCAUGAUGUUGCUCCUUAAUAUUAUCCUUCUCGGGGCAGAAGCUUUAAUGAUUCUGAACCUUAUAUUAACAACAAGCAAAGAAGAAAGGGCUUGGUUACCAGAAAACAACCUCCUGAAAAUUUUUGCAGCUGACAAAGAGAAUGCCAGUUUGUGGUGCGCAAGAGACCACGUAACAAAAAGGAAUUGGCAAAGAAUGAGGAAGACAUAAUAGACACACUUUCCAACUCUGUAACAGUUCAUGAGACUAAGCUCAAGGUUGACAACAUAUGUGGAGAAACAUGAGUUUGUUUUUGAUGCAGUGAUGAAUGAGGAAGUGUCUAAUGAUGAGGCUUUGUGCUCAACUUGGAAGGAUGAUGGGGCGACUGUCUUCUCUUGAGGCUGUGACAAGCAAGCUAAGAUGUGGUCCUUGGCUACUAACCAAAUAAUGACUGUUGCUCUGCAUGAUGCCUCCAUUAAAGACAUGGCUGGGAUCCCCAAGUUGAACCUCUUAGUCACUGGAAGCUUGGACAAGACUGUAAAGGGCUUUCACUGCAUUAUUUGCACAUGCAGUUGUAUUCACAGUUGUAUUGGCCAUAUUCUUUGCAAUCUCUCUGUGAAAUUUAACUGCUCAUAUUCGUUUGUAGGUAAGCCUUGAUAUGGACCAAAUGAUGAGGCUGCUUCAUUACUGUGGAUUACCAGUAGACGAUGUUGACUUUAUCAACUCUGAUGGGAAGAUAAUGAACAAACUAUUAUUGAAGUGGUCGACUACUUACAGACUUUGCAGUAGAUUCCGACUAGUUUCUUGAUUUUGAGUAAGGCUUGUGAUUGUUUACCUUUUUGUAGUAGAUGAAGUGACUGCAACAAUUGUGAACAAAACCGCAAUAGUAAUUGCUAGAUACUUGCCUAGCUUGUAGUAGGUUAAUUGGGGUUUUAUUUUGCCUAUUUUGUGAACUGUCAAGGAUAAUGAUUUUGGACAGAAUACCUCAAUAUUCAAAUUACUCUUGUCAAA
Long non-coding RNA from Rosa rugosa (rugosa rose), 1907 nucleotides. RefSeq lists it as uncharacterized. The transcript is spliced from 6 exons. The record is from RefSeq and is a predicted model, not a curated record. Lineage: Eukaryota; Viridiplantae; Streptophyta; Magnoliopsida; Rosales; Rosaceae.